GGAAACUUUAGGGGUUAACCCUUUGGUUAAAAAACCUUUUAGGAAAAAAGUUUAGGUUUAAAAGGUCGUUUAAAAGGGCCUCGGACCGUCCUUACGGAACUUUACGAAAUUUAACGACUUAAGUCGGAAAUUAAGGUAAGUAAAAAUUAGGGAAAACUAAGGUACCCGGUUUAGUUACUUACUUUUUAGUUUUUGUUUUGUUGGUAAGUACGUAGUCGUAAUGAUUAAUAGGGAUAGUUGGGGGCAUUAGUAUUCAAUUGUCAGAGGUGAAAUUCUUGGAUUUAUUGAAGACUAACUACUGCGAAAGCAUUUGCCAAGGAUGUUUUCAUUAAUCAAGAACGAAAGUUAGGGGAUCGAAGACGAUCAGAUACCGUCGUAGUCUUAACCAUAAACUAUGCCGACUAGGGAUCGGAUGAUGUUAAUUUUUAAUGACUC
This 435-nucleotide ribosomal RNA is filed under the name fungal sp. Its description in RNAcentral is "partial small subunit ribosomal RNA". It matches the Rfam family "Eukaryotic small subunit ribosomal RNA", at positions 656 to 1077 of the family's 1831-position model. The record is from RNAcentral. Lineage: Eukaryota; Fungi.